GCCACUGUAGCUCAGCUCGGUUGAGCGGCUGACUUGUAAUCAGCAGGCCGGGAGUUCGAAUCUCCCCAGUGGCUCCA
Molecule: transfer RNA, 77 nt
Filed under: Methanomassiliicoccaceae archaeon
Lineage: Archaea; Methanobacteriati; Thermoplasmatota; Thermoplasmata; Methanomassiliicoccales; Methanomassiliicoccaceae
Description: tRNA-Thr
Rfam family: tRNA
About the family: Transfer RNA (tRNA) molecules are approximately 80 nucleotides in length. Their secondary structure includes four short double-helical elements and three loops (D, anti-codon, and T loops).
Source: RNAcentral